This 220-nucleotide ribosomal RNA is filed under the name uncultured bacterium. RNAcentral's name for it is "partial 16S ribosomal RNA". It matches the Rfam family "Bacterial small subunit ribosomal RNA", at positions 118 to 318 of the family's 1533-position model. The record is from RNAcentral.
UGGGUAACCUGCCUCAAAGAGGGGAAUAGCCUUCCGAAAGGAAGAUUAAUACCGCAUAAUAUGUUUUGGUCGCAUGACCGAGACAUCAAAGGAGUCUUCUUCUUAGGAAGAAGCAUCCGCUUUGAGAUGGACCCGCGGCGCAUUAGCUAGUUGGUGAGGUAACGGCUCACCAAGGCGACGAUGCGUAGCCGACCUGAGAGGGUGAUCGGCCACAUUGGAA